This 67-nucleotide transfer RNA is filed under the name Marmota monax (woodchuck). RNAcentral describes it as "tRNA.Ala". Lineage: Eukaryota; Metazoa; Chordata; Mammalia; Rodentia; Sciuridae. The record is from RNAcentral.
GGUUGUGGCUCAGUGGCAGAGUGCUCGCCUAGCACGUGCGAGGUGCUGGGUUUGAUUCUCAGCACCA